CCUGGUGACCAUAGCGAGGAGGAAACACCCGUUCCCAUUCCGAACACGGAAGUGAAGGGCCUCAGCGGCGAUGGUACUGUGGGGCUAGCCCGUGGGAGAGUAGCACGUCGCCAGGU
RNAcentral lists this ribosomal RNA (116 nucleotides) under Lentisphaerota bacterium. Lineage: Bacteria; Pseudomonadati; Lentisphaerota. The record is from RNAcentral.